UACGGGAGGCAGCAGUGGGGAAUAUUGCACAAUGGGCGCAAGCCUGAUGCAGCCAUGCCGCGUGUAUGAAGAAGGCCUUCGGGUUGUAAAGUACUUUCAGUCGUGAGGAAGGUGUUAAGGUUAAUAACCUUAGCAAUUGACGUUAGCGACAGAAGAAGCACCGGCUAACUCCGUGCCAGCAGCCGCGGUAAUACGGAGGGUGCGAGCGUUAAUCGGAAUUACUGGGCGUAAAGGGCACGCAGGCGGUUAAUUAAGUUGGAUGUGAAAUCCCCCGGGCUUAACCUGGGAAUGGCAUUCAAGACUGGUUAGCUAGAGUCUUGUAGAGGGGGUAGAAUUCCAUGUGUAGCGGUGAAAUGCGUAGAGAUGUGGAGGAAUACCGGUGGCGAAGGCGGCCCCUGGACAAAGACUGACGCUCAUGUGCGAAAGCGUGGGGAGCAAACAGGAUUAGAUACC
This 453-nucleotide ribosomal RNA is filed under the name uncultured bacterium. Its description in RNAcentral is "bacterial SSU rRNA". It matches the Rfam family "Bacterial small subunit ribosomal RNA", at positions 340 to 786 of the family's 1533-position model. The record is from RNAcentral.